Molecule: ribosomal RNA, 374 nt
Filed under: uncultured eukaryote
Lineage: Eukaryota
Description: partial 18S ribosomal RNA
Rfam family: Eukaryotic small subunit ribosomal RNA
Source: RNAcentral
CAAUAGCGUAUACGCUCGUUGUUGCAGUUAAAAAGCUCGUAGUUGGAUUUCUGUGGAAGUUGAUCCUCCCGCCUUUUGGCGUGCGAGAGAUGAAUUUUCACUUUUUCCCGGGGAGCAUCCUGUACUUGAUUGUGGGGUAGGAUCCGGGACUUUUACUUUGAGAAAAUUAGAGUGUUUCAAGCAAGCGAUCGCCUUGAAUACUGCAGCAUGGAAUAAUUUGAUAGGACAUUGAUUCUAUUUUAUUGGUUUUCAGAAUUGAUGUAAUGGUUAAUAGGGACAGUUGGGGGCAUUCGUACUUCACAGUCAGAGGUGAAAUUCUUGGAUUUGUGAAUGACGAACUACUGCGAAAGCAUCUGCCAAGGAUGUUUUCAUUA